UAAUACGGAGGAUGCAAGCGUUAUCCGGAUUCAUUGGGUUUAAAGGGUGCGUAGGCGGCUCUUUAAGUCAGUGGUGAAAUCCUGCCGCUUAACGGUAGAAUUGCCAUUGAUACUGAAGAGCUUGAGUACAAUUGAGGUAAGCGGAAUGUGUAGUGUAGCGGUGAAAUGCUUAGAUAUUACACAGAACACCAAUUGCGAAGGCAGCUUACUAAACUGUUACUGACGCUGAUGCACGAAAGCGUGGGGAGCGAACAGGAUUAGAUACCCUGGUAGUCCACGCCGUAAACGAUGAUCACUCGCUGUAUGCGAUACACAGUAUGCGGCCAAGCGAAAGCAUUAAGUGAUCCACCUGGGGAGUACGAUCGCAAGGUUGAAACUUAAAUGAAUUGACGG
RNAcentral lists this ribosomal RNA (393 nucleotides) under uncultured bacterium. RNAcentral describes it as "bacterial SSU rRNA". It matches the Rfam family "Bacterial small subunit ribosomal RNA", at positions 521 to 916 of the family's 1533-position model. The record is from RNAcentral.